CUUCUGCCCAUCCUGGAGGAUGAGGAGCCAGAGAGGAAGCUGAACACACAGCUCCAGCAGAGGGAGGGUGGAGCAAUACAUUCUCAUACACAAAAACAACACGCAUCACCCAUGUGAGAUAUACAGCCGGUGGCGGUAAUAUAUAUAUAUAAUACUGCUGAGGAGUCAGUGGCCAUUAACAAGAAGAAGAAGAAGAAGAAGAAGAUUGCUUAGUCACAGUUCUGUGUCCCUGGGGAAGAUGGUUGGAGGAGAUCGUGGAUACGAGCAGCCGAGCACACACUUCGGUGAGUAUGGAGGAGGAUGGAAGGAGUCCGGGAAUGGGAGACGCCGGAGACACGGAGGAUCAGGAGAGACGAAGGAACAACAAUGCAUGGUGAAGUGUGUGCUUUUAUGCUGCAGUGAUAUUGAGGUGAUGAUGAUCAGGUGUGGGUAAUUAGUACUCUGGUGAUAGAGAUCUCUGUGACUGGGUGGUGAUGGAGCAUGGCCGAUCUCUGACAAUAAUGGCAGUGAACAGGGUUCACGAGUAUGCGCUGAAGAAAGUGUCUCCCUCCACAUCCAUCCAUCAUAAACGUACUCCACACAGCUCCAGGGGGUUAAUAAAGGCCUUCUGAAGUGAAGUGAUGCGUUUGUGUAAAAUAAUCUCCAUAUUUAACAAGUUAUGAAGUAAAAUAUCUAGCUUCCACCAGACCGCCUUCCGUAUUCAGUGUACGAAGAAAGCUGCUUCAGGGAAAGGGUUCAAGCCCAUGUGGUUAAAGUGCAUAACAUGUCUGUUAAACACUUCACGCUUUCUUAAUCUGAGUCCCUUUAAAACACCCCAGUGAUGAUGCUCUGUCCAGACAUACUGUAGAAUAACAAGCAUGGCGUGGUCCUAUACCUGAAUACUUCAUUUGCAUGCUUUGUUUAAGGUCGCCUCCCUGGUGCUUUGUCUCUAUCCAUAAGCACGGCCCCCUAAAAUGUAUAUAAACUUCAAUGUACACUGCCUUAGUUAGACUUGAUGACUGCAGCUACCGACAGCACGUGUUCUCAAUAAAGAAUCCUGUUGAAGAUACAUCAAAGUCUCCCGGUCUUCUCUUCUGAGAUUUCCAACACUAGCAAUAGGACACACUUGGAUCAGGGAUUGAAUGUUAUUAUGGUUUUUACUCAAAAUGCAAAUGUUAUUUUUAAUAAUAACAUUAUUAUUACUAUUACUUUUAUUCUUUCCCAUAUGUAACAUUUAUGGUGUAUUUACCAGGUGAGAAGUGUGUGUGUGUGUGUGUGUGUGUGUGUGUGUGUGUGUGUUUCAAAGCUUUGUGUACACAGUUUGAUCACUUUUUUUCAAGAGUAAAUCAUAUGGAUGGAAUAAUUGAGAGUUUUUCCUCUUUGAUUUGUACUUUGUAGACAGUCCCUAUUUGCUAUUUUACAUUACUAAAUGUAUAUGUUUGUCACGGACAGAAGGGUAGGAGACAACAGGUUUGCAGAAAUAACUGAGUUUAUUUCCAAACAGCAAGGAAUAACAGAAGUGCAGGUAAGUAAUGGUUAAAUGGAUAUUUGAGAUGGUGAAACAGAAGUGGUAAUACUGUCCUUUCUCUUGCAGGUGGAUGACUCAUGGAUGGUUGAAGGCGAAGUGGUGGAGUGAACUCACGGAGACGGUAGGGAGACACACACACAGAUACUAUGCACGAAGACUGGGAGGCACGCUGGAACGGUAAGGGUAAGUAUUCACAAUGAGCUGGAGCAUUGGAAGAGUAGUCCUUGUAUCAACGAGACCAGACAGUGAACUGAGGUGAGUGCUGUGCUUAAGUGUCUGGUGGUGAUUGUGUGAUGAUGGGGAUCAGGUGUGUGUGUUAGAACUCUGGUGAGGGAGUGCGCUGUGAUUGGCUGAUGGAAGAGCCUGGCGGGUCUGUGACAAUGUUGUGAUACAGCAGAUUAAACACAUAAACUACAUUGUGUGUUCUCUGCUACAUUUAAAACAAUUCAAACACAACCUGUUUUUUUGUUCAUAUGUUAAUCGUUAUUGAUCUAUUGAAGUUUUGAAGCCAUACCUGCAAACUCCAAAGUGGUGAAAUAGGUGACUUGUUUACAAAGUAAAAAAAAGUUUUCGUGAUUUUAACAUUGCAUUCUGGUGCAUUCUGACAAGAAAAUAAGUGGAAAAAACAACAUUUGCUUCAAGUAAAAAAAACAAACAAACAAACAACAACAAAAAAAAACAUUUAUUAACACUAGGGCUGGACAUUGACAAAAAUUUUACAAUUGGAUUAGAUUUUGAUUCAGAAGCUUGCGAUUUGAUUUCGAUUUGAUUACCCUUAAUUCAAUAUUGAUUAAUUUGGGGCCUAUCAGGUACAGUACAUGGCAAAUUUCAACUAUUACAACUAUUGCUGUAAACUAUACAGGGAACCACAGCUGGUACAUCAUUAUAAUAUUAAAGGUUAAAAUUAAUUGAUUUGUAAGCUACUUAUAAAUUACACAUAAAUAAGUUUUAUAAUAAGGUUAUAAUAAAUUUUUAAUGACAUAAUUAUGUUUCUACUCAUUUUUAAUACUGUUCCUACAAACCCGAUUCCAAAAAAGUUGGGACACUGUAAAAAUUGUGAAUAAAAAAGGAAUGCAAUAAUUUACAAAUCUCAUAAACUUAUAUUUUAUUCACAAUAGAAUAUAGAUAACAUAUCAAAUGUUGAAAGUGAGACAUUUUGAAAUGUCAUGCCAAAUAUUGGCUCAUUUUGGAUUUCAUGAGAGCUACACAUUCCAAAAAAGUUGGGACAGGUAGCAAUAAGAGGCCGGAAAAGUUAAAUGUACAUAUAAGGAACAGCUGGAGGACCAAUUUGCAACUUAUUAGUUCAAUUGGCAACAUGAUUGAGUAUAAAAAGAGCCUCUCAGUGUGGCAGUGUCUCUCAGAAGUCAAGAUGGGCAGAGGAUCACCAAUUCCCCCAAUGCUGCGGCGAAAAAUAGUGGAGCAAUAUCAGAAAGGAGUUUCUCAGAGAAAAAUUGCAAAGAAUUUGAAGUUAUCAUCAUCUACAGUGCAUAAUAUCAUCCAAAGAUUCAGAGAAUCUGGAACAAUCUCUGUGCGUAAGGGUCAAGGCCAGAAAACCAUACUGGAUGCCCGUGAUCUUCGGGCCCUUAGAUGGCACUGCAUCACAUACAGGAAUGCUACUGUAAUGGAAAUCACAACAUGGGCUCAGGAAUACUUCCAGAAAACAUUGUCUGUGAAUACAAUCCACCGUGCCAUUCGCCGUUGCCAGCUAAAACUCUAUAGGUCAAAAAAGAAUCCAUAUCUAAACAUGAUCCAGAAGCGCAGGUGUUUUCUCUGGGCCAAGGCUCAUUUAAAAUGGACUGUGGCAAAGUGGAAAACUGUUCUGUGGUCAGACGAAUCAAAAUUUGAAGUUCUUUUUGGAAAACUGGGACGCCAUGUCAUCCGGACUAAAGAGGACAAGGACAACCCAAGUUGUUAUCAGCACUCAGUUCAGAAGCCUGCAUCUCUGAUGGUAUGGGGUUGCAUGAGUGCGUGUGGCAUGGGCAGCUUACACAUCUGGAAAGGCACCAUCAAUGCUGAAAGGUAUAUCCAAGUUCUAGAACAACAUAUGCUCCCAUCCAGACGUCGUCUCUUUCAGGGAAGACCUUGCAUUUUCUAACAUGACAAUGCCAGACCACAUACUGCAUCAAUUACAACAUCAUGGCUGCGUAGAAGAAGGAUCCGGGUACUGAAAUGGCCAGCCUGCAGUCCAGAUCUUUCACCCAUAGAAAACAUUUGGCGCAUCAUAAAGAGGAAGAUGCGACAAAGAAGACCUAAGACAGUUGAGCAACUAGAAGCCUGUAUUAGACAAGAAUGGGACAACAUUCCUAUUCCUAAACUUGAGCAACUUGUCUCCUCAGUCCCCAGACGUUUGCAGACUGUUAUAAAAAGAAGAGGGGAUGCCACACAGUGGUAAACAUGGCCUUGUCCCAACUUUUUUGAGAUGUGUUGAUGCCAGGAAAUUUAAAAUCAACUUAUUUUUCCCUUAAAAUGAUACAUUUCCUCAGUUUAAACAUUUGAUAUGUCAUCUAUGUUGUAUUCUGAAUAAAAUAUUGAAAUUUGAAACUUCCACAUCAUUGCAUUCUUUUUUUAUUCACAAUUUGUACAGUGUCCCAACUUUUUUGGAAUCGGGUUUGUACUCAUUUUUAAUAUCGACCUAAACAUUUAAAUGGUGGCUGUCAUAAAACGGUUUUAUUCAUUCAUUCUUCAAGUACAUGAAUAUGCAAUGGCCUAUAGUCACAUAUCAAAAUGCUCCUCUCUAAGUUCAUUUUUGUAGCUGACUAACACGUUUUUUGACAUUGAACAGCUUUUCUGAGGUAAAUGUUAUGGUUAAUGUGGAAUUUUUACAAACUAUUUUAUUGCCGUUUUUCCGCGGUUGAAACAAUGGAGGAAUUGAUCGAUUAACAUUACAUAUGACAUGAUACGGAUUUCAGUAAGUUGUACUGGAUCUUUCAACGCCAAAAAAGAUCACGACGUCUAUGGUAGCACUCUAGUCUAUGGGAAAGUAGCCCAUUUUCGAUUCUUGUGAGGUUUAUUGUAACUGCAAACUCACCCUGACACGCCCCACCCCCGAGAACAAAAAAACUCUUCAGAUCUACACUGUUCACAUAAAUGACAUAUUUUGAUUCAAAACGGCGAGUUUCGCCAAAAAGCGACUAGUUUGCAGGUAUGGAAGCUGACGAAUGUCAAACGUCCAACAUCAGACCAACUUUAUAUCGGUGUAUUGUGAGUCAGUGAACGGAAAAGAAUUAAAAAAGGAAGACAUUCACAGACAAAUGUCGUUUAUUCAUGCGGCUGCUAUAAAUGUCUGAGAAUGACGUCACAUGUAUUAAUGAUAAACGAUGAAGAUCAGCGAUGUUUGAUGCUGGAAAGACUUUCUGAACACAAAUGAUGUGCAACAAAACACUAUUUCAUGGAGUCUGUAAUUAUUGACCAGUGAUAGGCUUUGUCUUUUCCAUCGCGCUGAUCAAAACUUCUCUUUCUGCAGCUCUUCAUUAAAAUCACACCUGUUUUGAUCCUCCAUUUUAAUCUGGAGCGUUUCUUCACAGCAGCUGCUCUUGGUAACAGACCUGAGAGUCGAUCACCGAAAUGAUGGAUGCUUUAAGAUUUCACAACUACAGAUGAGAUUCUGUGAGAGAGGAGAAGAUCCUAAAUCAAGUUCAGAUCUGAGAAAAAUCCUAAAUUAACUCGUCAGACCUGAACUCAAGACUGAAGAUAGAAAGUUAAAUCCAGACGAGAGCAAAGCAUGCUGGGAACUAAACAUCCACUUCUCAGUUUCAGUUCAUUCAACACAAAUGAUAAAGUAAACUUCAUUUUGAUAUAUUUAAGUGGAUUUUACACAAUUAAAUUAGGACAGAAUGUCAGUAAUUGUGUGGUUUUAACUCAUUUUAAUUAAGUUCAUUUAACAAGCAGCAGAAAUCAUGUUUACAGUGUAGAUGGACAGAUUGAUAAUUCCUGAUUGUGAUGUGUUUUAUCUCCAUCAGAUUCCCAUCAGCUCACUCUGGAUCUGAACACAGUGAAUAAACGCCUCCGUCUGUCUGAGAGAGACACAGUGAUUACUAACACUUACCGAGAGCUUCAGUCGUAUCCUGAUCAUCCAGACAGAUUUGAUUAUCAUCAUCACGUGUUGUGUAGAGAUUGUGUGUGAUCGACGCUGUUACGGGGAGAUUGAGUGGAGUGGAGAAUAUGUGUUUAUAUCAGUGUCAUAUAAGAGCAUCAGCAGGAAGGGACGGGGUCAUGAGUGUCGGUUUGAAUAUAAUGAUCAGUCCUGGAGUUUGAACUGCUAUUCCUACAGAUACUUAUUCAGACACAAUAACAUAGAGACUGUUCUCCCUGUAGAGCCCAUCAUCAGCAGGAGAACAGGAGUGAAUAAUGUGGAUCACUAUAGAGCAGGAGUGUAUGUGGAUCACAGUGCAGGAACUCUGUCCUUCUACAGCGUCUCUGGAGACACAGUGAUCCUCAUCCACACAGUCCAGACCACAUUCACUCAACCGCUCUAUCCUGGGUUUAAUGUUUAUCUUACUGGAUCAUCAGUGAAACUGUGUUGAUGAAUCAGAACAGACUGACGAGAGAUUCUACCCAUAAUGCUUUGAGCUCAUGAUGAAUCAGUGACAGUGAGAUGUUAUAGAGUCUCUUCAUUACAUUAAUACUGUCACUGAAAUAUAAUGUCAGAAUAAAUGUGUGUGUGUGGGUCAUGAUGAGUGAUGGUGUGUGUGCGUUUUUGUGAUUUAUGAGGACAUAAAUUUGUAUAAUGACAUGGGUAUUACACUGGUAUUACAACGUAAACAUGAAAUAUGAGGACAUUUCAUGAGUCCUCAUAUUUAAAAUAGCUUUAAAAACAUACUAAACAAUGUUUUAUUAAAAAUGUAAAAAUGCAGACAGUUUCCUGUGAUGGGUAGGUUUAGGGGUAGGGGUAGUGUAGGGGGAGAGAAUGUACAGUUUGUACAGUAUAAAAACCAUUAUGUCUAUGGAAUGUCCCCACAAUUCAUAUUGUGUGUGUGUGUGUGUGUGUGUGUGUGUGGCAAGGAGAUUUGCAAUUUGUGAACACAGAACAGGACGGAGUAAAAGGGAAACAGUCAAUGACUGUAUAACAUCAGAUUGAUCAAAGAUGCAUCAGAAGAAGAGAGACAGAUGGCAUCAAAUACAGCAUUUUACAUUACAGUGUGUAUGCUAUGUGAUACUGUAAACAGAAUACCAUGGUAGAGUCUGCUACAUUACUGUAACUCACUCUUAUAAAGGUCAACUACAGUAUUCAGUCAUAUGGUACAGUGAGAACAUUUACUGUAUUAUAGCAAACUCUGUUGUACACAAAACCUCAUGACUGUGUCAUACAUCACACCUUUUGAGAAGACUGAAUAAAUACUAUUAAAAACAUUAUGGAUUUUAUGUCAGUUAUGUAAUUUAGGUAAUGUAAGUGUAUUUUCUAAUGUCAUCUGUAUCCUGUGUAAUUAUUUCGGCAUCAAGGGUGAUUUGAAACAUGUAUCUUACAUUGUUUGUUAUUGAAUGAACUGAAUGUUAAAAGUGCUAAACUGAAAGAAGAUCAUACUGUUGUGUUUCUGUGAUU
Molecule: RNA transcript, 7046 nt
Organism: Ctenopharyngodon idella (grass carp)
Lineage: Eukaryota; Metazoa; Chordata; Actinopteri; Cypriniformes; Xenocyprididae
Exons: 2
Source: RefSeq, a predicted model, not a curated record